This is a long non-coding RNA of Sapajus apella (tufted capuchin), 3202 nucleotides long. RefSeq lists it as uncharacterized. The record is from RefSeq and is a predicted model, not a curated record. The transcript is spliced from 3 exons. Lineage: Eukaryota; Metazoa; Chordata; Mammalia; Primates; Cebidae.
AGAGACAGGGUCUCACACUCUUGCCCAGGCUGGAGUGCCGUGGUAUGAUCCUAGUUCAUUGCAGACUUGGACUCCUGGACUCAAGUGAUCCUCUUGCUUGAGCCUCAUGAAUAGCUAGGAUUGCACUUGUGUGCCACAAUAUUUGGCUAAUUUAAAAAAUUUUUUGUAGAGACAGGAUCUUGCUACAUUGCCCAGGUUUGGUUAUGAACUCCUCGCCUCAAGCACUCCUCUUGCCUCAGCCUUCCAAAGUGCUGGUAUUAUAGUUGUGAGCCACUGUGCUCCACCAAGUCACUUUUAAUAUUGAGGUUCUGAUCCCUGUGUGUGGAGAGAUUGAGAAUAGAAUCAGGCACUAUCACCAUAAGUUGAGGGAGUGGCUUUUGUGGAGGUGGUCUCUUGAGUUUUUUUCUGCCUCAGUGGGGAUGGCAGGAUGACAAGUUGGCCUAAUUAGUCACGUUGGCCUAAUUUGUAUUGGCCCCUGAGUCAUUUGGGGAAAGAAAGACCUGUAGCCUGGAUGUCAGGCAUGUUUGUGGGUCCAGAGCUCACCUUGAAGAAGGGGAUAGUUGGUGUGAGAUCUGUAUGUUUAUGGACAGAAAACGUUGGGUUCCUUGUUCCCAGGAAUGUUCCAGAACUUCCAGCGACGGUCAGAAGGAGCUGUUUUCAGAUUCAGCUCAGAAUCCAUAUUCUCCAAGAUCUGGAACAUGGAGAUUUCACAGCCCCCAUAUUCUGGAUAAUUCACUCAAAGCUUGAGAGUUAGAGAUGAGGGAAUCAACAUAGGCAUCAAAGAGAAGACAGAUGCCAACACUAGCAUGGAGGAAAGAUUGCAGCUGAUCUGGAGGUAUGAUUGGGAGCGGUUGAGAAGACUUUCAGGGGUGUCCCUGAUGAGGGAGGGCACAAGCAAAGGCCCAGGGGAAAGGAACUGCCCAGUAGAUCCCAGAAAAGGGCUACCAUUGGAUAUAACAGAGUGUAAAAUAACAGGGUAGACAGUAUACUGCAUCAACGGGUGGAAGACAACUGCCUUUUGGGUUGAGCAUAGUCUGAAAGCAAUGGAACCACUGAAUCCCACAAAAGCUGGUAAUCUGCACAGCCCAAAGGUCAGAGCCAUCAGGACUUUGCCUGGAAUAUUCUGGCAUUAUUGGCAAACAACUCCCUUCCCCUAACAGGUUGGCUGCUGUACACUGAGCCCCAGUGGGAGAUCAGAAGGCAGGUUCAGCAGAAAUACAUAGGACUCUACUCAUGUAUUGGGAACCAUUUUAUUUUUCCCUUUUUAGAGACAAGGUCUCAUUCUGUUGCUCAGGCUGGAGUACAGUGGUACAAACGUAGCUAGCUCACGGCAGUCUUUAAGUCCCGGGAUCCAGUGAUCCUCCUGCCUCAGUCUCCCAAAUAGCUGGGAACAGACAUGCUACCAUCAUGCCCAGCACCACUUUAUGAGAUCUAAUCUUGGCCACUCACACAGAGGAUUGAGCUCUGAUGACAUGUCUACCCUAACUUUAUUUGCUUAGAAGCCCCCAUGUGACUCAGCUGGCCUUAUAAUUCUGAUCCCACACGAGUCUUCCAUAUUGGAGACAUACUCAGGAAGGCAAGCCUGAGCAACGUAGGGAUCCCCCAUACCCCUCACUGUGCUGGGGAGUACUUGAGAAGCCCUGCUGUAAUCUCUGCUGACUGCAAAAUUGUUGUGGCUUCUGCUCAUGAUGUAGUUAUCAUUGUCCAUCCCCUCAGGGGCUUCCGAGAGAGGUGGCAGCUGCAGUGGCCUCUGAUCUGUCAUAUAGUAUGGAUGAACACCACAGGCCAAAGAGCCUCAUGUCAGAGGAUUUCUGGUCUUUUCUCCCCUAGGCCUCAGGAGGACCCAGGGAAAUAUACAAAGCCAACUUAUAGUUUUUGGUGAACUGAGUUUUAUUGAAAUGUUUUUGGAAAUGAUUUUCAACAUUUACGAAAUCAGAUGCCACAUAAAAAUCCAAAUAUUUGGCUCUUCUUGCAAAACCACUAAGACUCCACCAUAUUGUUUCCCCACCCCUUAAGAGGGGCAGACCUGCUUCAUGGCCACCAUAAGUGGAAUUAUGAAGGCCCUGGCCAUGUGACUCUCUAGACACCCUGGCUACUCACAUAAGCCACUCUAGACCAUGAUUUCUGUCUUCUCUGUCUUGAGGUUCCUACCUGUGCAGUGAUGGCCAUGAGAUGAACAGCCCAGAGAGUCCACAGGAAUCCGCAAAACAUUUAUCUGGAUUUCAGUUAUGAGUGACAGAAGCAUUCUUCUUCAGAUGGGCCUCCUGACCCUCUACUCCAUGCCAGCAACCUGAAAGUAGAGAAACGCCAGGCAACUAGGUAUUCCACUUGGUGGUAAUAGAUGCCUUCAUUAGAAAUGUGUUACCCAGGAAUUCAUACCCAAGAACAGGUCCCAGGAAUUGUUGACAGGCCGACAGGACCAUCAUCAGGGUGAAGAAGGGCCCAUUACUAUGCAGGAUAGGGACCAGCCAAGCAACAGAAUAAGGGAAACCUCACUAGAGUAUGGACACAGAAAUGGGUCAAAGAACUUAAAUAGACAUUUCUCCAAAAGAAGAUAUAUACACAAACGAUCAACAAGCAUUUGAAAAUAAGUUCAGCAUCCUUAAUCAUUAGGAGUAUGCAAACCAAAACCACAGUGAGAUACAACUUCACACCCACUAGCAUAGCUAUAAUAAAUAAACAGCAAGAAAUGAAGAUGAAGUAGAAAAACUGGAGCACUUAUACACUGCAGAUAGGGAUGUAAAAUGGGGCAGCCAAUUUGGAAAACAGUUUGGCAAGUGUGCUCCUACAGAGCUACACAAGAGAACUAAAAGCAUAUCUACACAAAAAUGUGUACAAGACCGUUCAUGGCAAUAUGUUUUUAAAAACUGAGAUGGGGUCUUGCUACGUUGCCCAGAUUGGUCUCAAACUUCUGAGCUCAAGUUAUCCUCCUUCCUCAGCCUCCUGAGUAGCUGGACUAUAGGCACCUCACCCAGCUUCUAUAGCAGCAUUUUUUCUGACACCUAAAAAAAUGGAAACAAGCCACAUUCUCAUUAACUGAUAAAUGGAUAAACAAACUGUAGUCUAUCUAUACACUGGAAUUUGGCUGUAAAAAAGAAUGAAAUAUUGAUACAUCCUACGAAAUCGAUGAACUUCAAAAACAUGUUAAGAGAAAGCCAGUCACAGAAAAACACAUGGUAAGAGUCAAUUUUUUUUUUUUUUU